Molecule: long non-coding RNA, 778 nt
Organism: Mya arenaria
Lineage: Eukaryota; Metazoa; Mollusca; Bivalvia; Myida; Myidae
Exons: 2
Source: RefSeq, a predicted model, not a curated record
ACGACACUGUCAACAUCGGCAAGCAUCGGGUUAAGCGGUAUUUGAUCAACAACAAACACUGAGGCACAUACAACCAUUUAAAAAUAUUGAUCUGUUUUCGAAUUUCUUAAUGUUAUAGCUUUACUUCAUUUUAUUCAGCAAAAACAAACGGACGAGAAUGGUGCGACAAAUUCGACGAAUGGUGAAUCAGACGAAAUGGACGAGCUUUCUCGCCUAGAGGAGCAGAAUACACAACUGAGAGCGAGAACUUCAUGCAAGGUUUGUCGGGAGAGACAAGCGAUCAUCCUGUUGCUUCCGUGUAGCCACCUUGCAACCUGCGUGCAGUGUGAGCAAAACCUAACCAUCUGUCCCGUGUGUAACAGACAAGUUGUGGAGACGGUCAAGACCUUCUUAGGAUGAUCUAAGAGCCAGAGAAAAGAAUGCUGCUUACAUCUGCAUUGCUGAAUUCGUUUGAAUUGAGACAGAACAAACAUAUGUAUUAUUUGGAUCCGAAAUCAUAUUUGGAUAAAAAAAGUUUAUAAUUUUUAUGUUCAUACAUGAAACAAAGACAAUCUAACAUUUUUAUUGUUAAUUUAACAUGAACAUCACUUUGAUAGAAAGUCAUCUAAAAAAAAAAUAUAUGCUUUAAGUGAUAUUUCUUUGAAAUUUUAAACAAAAAAAAUAACUGUUUUUGUGGCUUUCACAGGCAGCUUCUUUCAUGAAGGCAUUAGGCUGUGUUAAUAUAAUGCGAAUUAUUAAAGGUGCUAAAUAAUGAUAUUAAAAUGCUUGUGUUUAAUUA